RNAcentral lists this ribosomal RNA (292 nucleotides) under uncultured bacterium. RNAcentral's name for it is "partial 16S ribosomal RNA". It matches the Rfam family "Bacterial small subunit ribosomal RNA", at positions 505 to 796 of the family's 1533-position model. The record is from RNAcentral.
GUGCCAGCAGCCGCGGUAAUACGUAGGCAGCGAGCGUUGUUCGGAGUUACUGGGCGUAAAGGGUGUGUAGGCGGUCCUGUAAGUCUGGUGUGAAAUCUCCCGGCUCAACUGGGAGGGUGCGCCGGAAACUGCAGGGCUAGAGUGCGGGAUGGGAGAGUAGAAUUCCUGGUGUAGCGGUGAAAUGCGUAGAUAUCAGGAGGAAUACCUGUGGUGUAGACGGCUCUCUGGACCGCGACUGACGCUGAGACACGAAAGCGUGGGUAGCAAACAGGAUUAGAUACCCUUGUAGUCC